RNAcentral lists this transfer RNA (71 nucleotides) under Rattus norvegicus (Norway rat). It matches the Rfam family "tRNA". From Rfam's summary of the family: Transfer RNA (tRNA) molecules are approximately 80 nucleotides in length. The record is from Rfam by way of RNAcentral. Lineage: Eukaryota; Metazoa; Chordata; Mammalia; Rodentia; Muridae.
UGGGAUUUAGCUCAGUGGUAGAGCACUUGCCUAGCAAGCGCAAGGCCCUGGGUUCAGUCCCCAGCUCCCAG